This 168-nucleotide small RNA is filed under the name Chelonoidis abingdonii (Abingdon island giant tortoise). Its description in RNAcentral is "TUC338 (ENSCABG00000016034.1)". The record is from RNAcentral. Lineage: Eukaryota; Metazoa; Chordata; Testudines; Testudinidae.
UAGAAUGGCCAUCAAAGAGAAUGAGAUUCUAAAUGUAUCUGCAUCAAAGGAAAACAUGUCCAAGCUUCCACACAUUGCCCAGCCAAUGUGUCUCAAUCCUACCCGGGAGGGACCAUCUAUAGGAGUGAGGGAAAUUUGUUCUCCUAUCCUAAUCCAUUCUUGUACUCU